CGGGUGAGCAAUGCCUAGGAAUCUGCCUGGUAGUGGGGGACAACGUUUCGAAAGGAACGCUAAUACCGCAUACGUCCUACGGGAGAAAGCAGGGGACCUUCGGGCCUUGCGCUAUCAGAUGAGCCUAGGUCGGAUUAGCUAGUUGGUGAGGUAAUGGCUCACCAAGGCGACGAUCCGUAACUGGUCUGAGAGGAUGAUCAGUCACACUGGAACUGAGACACGGUCCAGACUCCUACGGGAGGCAGCAGCU
Molecule: ribosomal RNA, 250 nt
Filed under: uncultured Pseudomonas sp.
Lineage: Bacteria; Pseudomonadati; Pseudomonadota; Gammaproteobacteria; Pseudomonadales; Pseudomonadaceae
Description: partial 16S ribosomal RNA
Rfam family: Bacterial small subunit ribosomal RNA
Source: RNAcentral